Molecule: long non-coding RNA, 2574 nt
Organism: Solea senegalensis (Senegalese sole)
Lineage: Eukaryota; Metazoa; Chordata; Actinopteri; Pleuronectiformes; Soleidae
Exons: 5
Source: RefSeq, a predicted model, not a curated record
CUCCAGGGAGAGAAAGUGAGAUCCGAGGACUGGGAAGUGGAAUCGAUUUCAUGCUUAGCACAAUGUGGGUUUAAGCAGAGAAACUUUGUGGUGAGGCUACAGAAUCAGAAGAAACUUUGUCUGGGCAACUGGGAUUGUAUAUUGGAUUUUUGCAAAGAAAUCUGCAGGACACAGAUCAUGGUGUUCUGAUAUUGAAUUGUGGUUGUAGCGUUAAACUGUCAGUGUAGAACAGGAAAGGCUGUUAGAUUGGGGAGGGCAUCUAUCGGUGGGCCCUGACUGGAUGUGAGAAGACCCACACACUUGACCAGAGGCAAUGAAGGCUGGAGUGGAUUCCUGCAUCAGAAGACUCCAUAACCCGGAGAAGUCCCGUCCUGGGUGGCUAUGACGAGGACCUUGCCCAAGGUGAACCAACCCUUCUGCGAUGACACAGGAUGUCUUCAGAUGUUGGACCUUAAGUAUCAGAGUCCAUCACAAUGUACACAUGCCUCAAGGACCGCUACUUCACUCUGCUCAAGAGGUCAUGGUCACAGUUUUUUAAAUGGACUUUACCACCUGAAGCCUCAGACUCAUCCAGCCCAGAACCCCCUGUUCCCACUGACUCACAACCACACAUCACAACACUGUACAUAUAUAAUGUUAUGAAAUGCUUCAUAUCUGGCAUUUGUUGGCAUGUUUUUUGAUAUCAAGUUUUCUCAGAUUUUAUGCACUGCCAUCAGCCUUUUUAGUUUCAUCCAACUAAACUGAAAUUCAACAUUAAGGCUGACUUGUCUCGCUCUGCCAAGAUUAGUUCCAACUAGAGACUCAAAUUGAACCUUUCUGUGUUCAUAAAACCUUUUUGCGCGUCAUGUUGGGAGGCCUCCCAGCAGGGGAUUUCGAUAUUCCCCUGCAAAACCACGCGUUACUCGUAGAAAUGUAGGACAGUUUCAUACAUGGAAUUGUCAUCAUUGAGUAGGUUGCAGGAUUAGAGCGCGUUUCGGUUCUUUAGGAGGAAACAAACCUGGCAGAGAGACAACUCAGAUUAUUUAACUAUAGGUUGCACCAAAUUUAAGAAUUUUAUCUUUUAUGUUACAAAUUUAAAUUAAUUCUGUGGGCUGAAUUGCAGGCGUCAUGAUAUUCAGAAAAGUGACUGUUAAGUACCCUCUUGUGGCAGGAGUGAGCAGCUGCAGCUUUUUUUUAUUUUUUUGUUUCUUGGAUUCACUUAGUCUCUGGAGAUUUGUGGUUAACUUUGAUCAUGUAACCUUGUAAACAUAAGUGAUCUUUUGUCUCUUAUUUGAAAAGCUCGAGGCUGGGUAAAUGAUAGGACGUUAUGGCUUGCCCAAAGUGGGGUUUUUGAUAGGAUAACAUCCUAACACAUUUGAUAGGAUAACAUCCUAACACAUUUGAUAGGAUAACAUCUUAACAUCCUAACACAUUUGAUAGAAUAACAUCCUCACACAUUUGAUAGGAUAGCAUCCUAACAUCCUAACACAUUGGGGAGGGCAACCAUCGGCGGGCCCUGACUGGAUGUGAGAAGACCUGUCACACUUGACCAGAGGUGAUGAAGGCUGGAGUGGAUUCCUGCAUCAGAAGACUCCAUGUUGGACACCACAACCUGAAGUAGUCCCGUCCUGGGUUGCUGUGACAAGGACCUUGAACGAGGUAUUCGACCCUUCAGUAAUGACACCUCUUUGCCACAGGAUGUCUUCAGAUGUUGGACCUUAAGGAUCAGAGUCUAUCAAAUUGUACACAUGCCUCAAUGGCUGUGACGUCACUCUGCUCAACAGGACAUGGUCACAUUUUCUUUUAAAUGAACUUUACCACCUAAAGCCUUAGACUCAUCCAACCCAGAACCCACUGACUCACAACCACACAUCACAGCACUGUACAUGGAUAAUGUUAUGAAAUGGUUUAUAUUUGGCAUUUGUUGACAUGUUUUUGAUAUCUUUUUAAGUCAUAAACAGUUUUUCCACAUUGUAUGCACUACUAUUAGCCUUUAAAGUUUCAUCCAUCACCAACUAAACUGAAAUUCAACAUUAAAGCUGACUUGUCUCACUCUGCCAAGUUUAGUUCCAAAUAAAGACUCAAAUUGAACCUUUCUGUGUUCAUAAAACCUUUUUGCGCGUCAUGUUGGGAGGCCUCCCAGCAGGGGAUUUCUAUAUUCCCCUGCAAAACCGCGCGUUACUCGUAGAAAUGUAGGGAUAUCUUGGACAGUUUCAUACAUGGAAUUGUCCUCAUUGAGUAGGUUGCAGGAUUAGAGCGCGUUUCGGUUCUUUAGGAGGAAACAAACCUGGCAGAGAGACGACUCGGAUUAUUUAACUUGCACCACAGUCACACAUCACAACACUGUACAUUCACAUGAUGCAGCACAACACUAAAAUACAGACACUGCUACUUUCAGCCUGAAAUGAUUAUCAUUGAAUUCCCUAAAAGAAAAGCAUAUUAACUGAAUAUUCCAGUUGAAUACAAAGAAAUUUUGUUUAUUUGAAUACCCUUUUGAAAGGUUUUGUUUUUCUGCUAUGGGAAGCGCUUAGCCUUGUUUUGUAAAGAAUUAUAGUACCAUUAACAACUGACACAAGUUAUGUUAUAAACAAAUGU